This 253-nucleotide ribosomal RNA is filed under the name uncultured bacterium. RNAcentral describes it as "partial 16S ribosomal RNA". It matches the Rfam family "Bacterial small subunit ribosomal RNA", at positions 524 to 776 of the family's 1533-position model. The record is from RNAcentral.
UACAGAGGCCCCGAGCGUUAUCCGGAAUCAUUGGGCGUAAAGGGUGUCAAGGCGGUCAUGUUAGUCGUUCGUUAAAUCUGGGGGCUCAACCUCCAGCCUGCGAGCGAAACGGCAUGACUUGAGGGUGGGAGAGGUGCGUGGAACUCACGGUGUAGGGGUGAAAUCCGUUGAUAUCGUGGGGAACACCAAAGGCGAAGGCAGCGCACUGGCCCAUUCCUGACGCUCACACACGAAAGCCAGGGUAGCGAAUGGG